Molecule: non-coding RNA, 174 nt
Organism: Vicugna pacos (alpaca)
Lineage: Eukaryota; Metazoa; Chordata; Mammalia; Artiodactyla; Camelidae
Source: RefSeq, a predicted model, not a curated record
UUGUAUAAAUAUACCACAACUUCUUUAACCAGCCACCUGUUGUUGGACAUUUAGGUUGUUUCCAUGUCUUGGCUGUUGUAAAUAGUGCUGCUACAAACAUUUGGGUGCAUGUAUCUUUUCAAGUUAAAGUUCCCUCUGAAUACAUGCCCAGGAGUUGGGCUGCUGGAUCAUUUG